RNAcentral lists this ribosomal RNA (668 nucleotides) under Salmonella enterica. RNAcentral's name for it is "bacterial SSU rRNA". It matches the Rfam family "Bacterial small subunit ribosomal RNA", at positions 846 to 1514 of the family's 1533-position model. The record is from RNAcentral. Lineage: Bacteria; Pseudomonadati; Pseudomonadota; Gammaproteobacteria; Enterobacterales; Enterobacteriaceae.
CCGGAGCUAACGCGUUAAGUAGACCGCCUGGGGAGUACGGCCGCAAGGUUAAAACUCAAAUGAAUUGACGGGGGCCCGCACAAGCGGUGGAGCAUGUGGUUUAAUUCGAUGCAACGCGAAGAACCUUACCUGGUCUUGACAUCCACGGAAGAAUCCAGAGAUGGAUUUGUGCCUUCGGGAGCCGUGAGACAGGUGCUGCAUGGCUGUCGUCAGCUCGUGUUGUGAAAUGUUGGGUUAAGUCCCGCAACGAGCGCAACCCUUAUCCUUUGUUGCCAGCGGUCCGGCCGGGAACUCAAAGGAGACUGCCAGUGAUAAACUGGAGGAAGGUGGGGAUGACGUCAAGUCAUCAUGGCCCUUACGACCAGGGCUACACACGUGCUACAAUGGCGCAUACAAAGAGAAGCGACCUCGCGAGAGCAAGCGGACCUCAUAAAGUGCGUCGUAGUCCGGAUUGGAGUCUGCAACUCGACUCCAUGAAGUCGGAAUCGCUAGUAAUCGUGGAUCAGAAUGCCACGGUGAAUACGUUCCCGGGCCUUGUACACACCGCCCGUCACACCAUGGGAGUGGGUUGCAAAAGAAGUAGGUAGCUUAACCUUCGGGAGGGCGCUUACCACUUUGUGAUUCAUGACUGGGGUGAAGUCGUAACAAGGUAACCGUAGGGGAACCUG